UAUCACAGGAAAUUUCAUUUUUCAAACAUUCUAACUUUCUAAAUGAGAGAUGAUCUAGCCUAUUGUGACAUACUUGGAUAGACACAUUGUUUACAAAGGCCUUAGGAAUAGAAUCAGUAUAUGAAGUUGAAUUUAGAUCUUUGGUGUCAAGGACGUACAAGUCCUGCAACCUAUCGCCCUUGCCAAUCAUCUUCUUGAUUUUGGCAUUCUGGAUGAUGAAAUGAUCAUGAAAGAAACCAACGGUUAGAUGGGAUCCAACUAUUAGAGCACUAACAGAUAACAUGUUAAACUUUAAUUGAGCACAAAUAGUAUAUCAUGAAGUAUAAGAUCAUGACUUAAUCUGACUUCACAACAUAAUUUAAAGUAUAUUUGUGUGUUAUUUGGCAGAGUAACAAUAGAAUUAUCCAGUAUCCUGAUUGGCAAGGCAGAAGCAAUUGAACAUACACGCUUGGUUGCACCGGAAUCCACUAUCCAGAUGUUCUUGGAUAAGAACAUAGGAUUAACUGAUAUGGAAUAACAUAUACCUGCUGCAUAUGAGAUGUCAUUGUUGUCUUGAUGAUCAAAUGUUGUUGCGAAAGAGUUUAAAGCCGAAUGAGAAGACAAUAUAGACAUGUAUCUCCAUCAGAAAAGAUAGUGUACUCGAUCUGAUAGUGUUUGUUCAAUUCCUUCACUUCACCACAGGUACAUUUUCCACAAUUGCAUGUAGGUCGAUAAUUGCUCAGUUUCUCCCAAAUGGUUUUGAGUUUAGUGAAAUACACAAUUACACUAUCUUGAUCUUGAAUUAGAUUCAUCAAAUCUCUUCUCAAUUGAAAGAUGCGUGGUCCAUUCUGUUGAAACCUUUCCUCAAAUCCAUGACUUGAGCAAUUCAAAAUUCGUACAUCAGUUCAGAUAUAGAUCCAUCAAUGAAUCCGAGUUUAUUUUUCACAUACAAUGCAAUUGUCAUUGCACAACUCUAAGAGGCAUAGUUAUCUUUGGUGAGCUGCUGCGAUACCAAAAUCAUUCCUGGACUAUCAGAAUGAUGCAAAAGCAUGGACUUGAAAUAUCAUCAACUGAUAACUUGUUCAUUGAUGUUCUUGAAUCUUUUGAUUGCUGUGGCUCCAUCUGAAAUCAGUUGCCAGAAUCAACAAUUGAUUAAUAAAAAAAGAAAAAAAAAUUGAGAGAAGAAUUAGUAUGAGGAAUUAUCUUUGCUCUGAUACCAUAUUAAAAGGUAGAAGGAAUUGUGAAGAACUUAUU
RNAcentral lists this long non-coding RNA (1233 nucleotides) under Olea europaea (common olive). Its description in RNAcentral is "long non-coding RNA (OEUR_LNC009935)". The record is from RNAcentral. Lineage: Eukaryota; Viridiplantae; Streptophyta; Magnoliopsida; Lamiales; Oleaceae.